This 316-nucleotide ribosomal RNA is filed under the name uncultured fungus. RNAcentral's name for it is "SSU rRNA". It matches the Rfam family "Eukaryotic small subunit ribosomal RNA", at positions 39 to 352 of the family's 1831-position model. Lineage: Eukaryota; Fungi. The record is from RNAcentral.
AAAGAUUAAGCCAUGCAUGUCUAAGUUCAAGCAAAAAUAAAGUGAAACCGCGAAUGGCUCAUUAUAUCAGUUAUGGUUCCUUAGAUCGCACUUACUACUUGGAUAACUGUGGUAAUUCUAGAGCUAAUACAUGCGCUGGACUCCAACCCUUGUGGAAGGAGUGCUUUUAUUAGAUCAAAGCCAAUCGGGUCUUCGGAUUCGUUUUGUUGGUGACUCUGAAUAACUUUGCUGAUCGUACGGUCUCGCACCGACGACGUAUCUUUCAAGUGUCUGCCUUAUCAACUGUCGAUGGUAAGUUAUGCGCUUACCAUGGUUG